GGUGGCUCAGUGGUAGAGUGCUUGCCUUGCAAGCAUGAGGCCCUGGGUACGAUUCCUCAGCACCA
RNAcentral lists this transfer RNA (65 nucleotides) under Dipodomys ordii (Ord's kangaroo rat). It matches the Rfam family "tRNA". From Rfam's summary of the family: Transfer RNA (tRNA) molecules are approximately 80 nucleotides in length. Their secondary structure includes four short double-helical elements and three loops (D, anti-codon, and T loops). The record is from Rfam by way of RNAcentral. Lineage: Eukaryota; Metazoa; Chordata; Mammalia; Rodentia; Heteromyidae.